RNAcentral lists this ribosomal RNA (741 nucleotides) under uncultured archaeon. Its description in RNAcentral is "bacterial SSU rRNA". It matches the Rfam family "Archaeal small subunit ribosomal RNA", at positions 1 to 746 of the family's 1478-position model. The record is from RNAcentral.
UUCCGGUUGAUCCUGCCGGAGGACAUUGCUAUUGGGAUUCGAUUUAGCCAUGCUAGUCGAACGAGUUCACACUCGUGGCACAUAGCUCAGUAACACGUGGCCAAGCUACCCUUCAGUCAGCAAUACCCUCGGGAAACUGAGGCUAAUAGCUGAUACGAAACAGACGCUGGAAUGCACUGUAUUCCAAAGACACCGCUGAAGGAUGCGGCUGCGGCCGAUUAGGUAGACGGUGGGGUAACGGCCCACCGUGCCAGUAAUCGGUACGGGUGGUGAGAGUCAGAGCCCGGAGACGGAAUCUGAGACAAGAUUCCGGGCCCUACGGGGCGCAGCAGGCGCGAAACCUUUACACUGCACGAAAGUGCGAUAGGGGAAUCCCAAGUGCGAGGGCAUAUUAGCCCUCGCUUUUGUUGACUCUAAGGCGGUCAACGAAUAAGAGCUGGGCAAGACCGGUGCCAGCCGCCGCGGUAAUACCGGCAGCUCAAGUGAUGUCCCAUAUUAUUGGGCCUAAAGCGUCCGUAGCUGGCCGCGCAAGUCCGUCGGGAAAUCCACCUGCCCAACAGGUGGGCGUCCGGCGGAAACUGUGUGGCUUGGAACCGGAAGGCUCAGAGAGUACGUCCGGGGUAGGAGUGAAAUCCCGUAAUCCCGGACGGACUACCGAUGGCGAAAGCACUCUGAGAAGACGGCUUCGACAGUGAGGGACGAAAGCUCGGGUCUCAAACCGGAUUAGAUACCCGGGUAGUC